AUGGACUUACGGCUCAUAUUCGUUUUCUCUGCCCUUAUUUUAAAAGGUGUCCAGUGUGAAGUGCAAUUGCUGGAGUCUGGGGGAGGCUUCGUGCAGCCUGGAAAGUCCCUGAAACUCUCCUGUGCAGUUUCUGGAUUCACCUUCAGUGGUUAUUACAUGAGCUGGGUCCGCCAGGCUCCCGGGAAGGGGCUGGAGUGGGUAGCAGCCAUUAGUAAUAGAGGUACCACCUACUAUGCGAACUCUUUGAAGGGCCGGUUCACAAUCUCCAGAGACAAUAGCAAGAACAUUCUGUACCUGCUAAUGAGCAUUCUGAGGAUUGAGGACACAGCAGUGUACUUCUGUGCAAGAGACACAGUGAGUGGAUGUUACUGUGACCUCAAACAAAAAACAGCGCUGUGGGAUACACGGACCAGUAGGGGGCGCUGA
Non-coding RNA from Microtus oregoni (creeping vole), 426 nucleotides. Lineage: Eukaryota; Metazoa; Chordata; Mammalia; Rodentia; Cricetidae. The record is from the annotation of a RefSeq genome assembly.